UAAGGAAUAUUGGGCAAUGGGCGCGAGCCUGACCCAGCCAUGCCGCGUGCAGGAAGACGGCCUUAUGGGUUGUGAACUGCUUUUGUCAGGGGAUAAACCUAUCUACGAGUAGAUAGCUGAAAGUACCUGAAGAAUAAGCAUCGGCUAACUCCGUGCCAGCAGCCGCGGUAAUACGGAGGAUGCGAGCGUUAUCCGGAUUCAUUGGGUUUAAAGGGUGCGCAGGCGGGGCAUUAAGUCAGUGGUGAAAUAAGACGGCUCAACUGUCUGGCUGCCAUUGAUACUCAUGUUCUAGAGUGUAAUUGGAGUGGGCGGAAUGUGUCAUGUAGCGGUGAAAUGCUUAGAUAUGACACAGAACACCGAUCGCGAAGGCAGCUCACUAAGUUAAUACUGACGCUCAUGCACGAAGGCGUGGGGAUCAAACAG
Molecule: ribosomal RNA, 423 nt
Filed under: uncultured bacterium
Lineage: Bacteria
Description: bacterial SSU rRNA
Rfam family: Bacterial small subunit ribosomal RNA
Source: RNAcentral